GUGCCAGCCGCCGCGGUAAUACGUAUGGGGCGAGCGUUGUUCGGAUUUAUUGGGCGUAAAGGGCGUGUAGGCGGCUCAUCAAGUCUGGUGUGAAAACGCAAGGCUUAACCUUGCAUAGGCGCUGGAAACUGGUGGGCUUGAGUUCUUGAGGGGAAGCUGGAAUUCCAGGUGUAGGGGUGAAAUCUGUAGAUAUCUGGAAGAACACCGGUGGCGAAGGCGAGCUUCUAUCAGAGGACUGACGCUGAGGCGCGAAAGCGUGGGGAGCAAACAGGAUUAGAAACCCUCGUAGUCC
This 292-nucleotide ribosomal RNA is filed under the name uncultured bacterium. RNAcentral describes it as "partial 16S ribosomal RNA". It matches the Rfam family "Bacterial small subunit ribosomal RNA", at positions 505 to 796 of the family's 1533-position model. The record is from RNAcentral.